AGAGUUUGAUCCUGGCUCAGGACGAACGCUGGCGGCGUGCUUAACACAUGCAAGUCGAACGGUGAACCAGGGCUUGCCCUGGGAAUCAGUGGCGAACGGGUGAGUAACACGUGGGCAACCUGCCCCAGACUCUGGGAUAACUCCGGGAAACCGGGGCUAAUACCGGAUAUGACCCUUGAAGGCAUCUUCGAAGGUGGAAAGUUUUUCGGUCUGGGAUGGGCCCGCGGCCUAUCAGCUUGUUGGUGGGGUAAUGGCCCACCAAGGCGACGACGGGUAGCCGGCCUGAGAGGGCGACCGGCCACACUGGGACUGAGACACGGCCCAGACUCCUACGGGAGGCAGCAGUGGGGAAUAUUGCGCAAUGGGCGAAAGCCUGACGCAGCGACGCCGCGUGAGGGAUGAAGGCCUUCGGGUUGUAAACCUCUUUCAGCAGGGACGAAGCGAAAGUGACUGUACCUGCAGAAGAAGCACCGGCUAACUACGUGCCAGCAGCCGCGGUAAUACGUAGGGUGCAAGCGUUGUCCGGAAUUAUUGGGCGUAAAGAGCUCGUAGGCGGUUUGUCGCGUCGGAUGUGAAAACUUGGGGCUCAACCCCAAGCCUGCAUUCGAUACGGGCAAACUAGAGUUCGGUAGGGGAGACUGGAAUUCCUGGUGUAGCGGUGAAAUGCGCAGAUAUUNGGAGGAACACCGGUGGCGAAGGCGCCACUCUGGAUCGAUACUGACGCUG
This 726-nucleotide ribosomal RNA is filed under the name uncultured bacterium. RNAcentral describes it as "bacterial SSU rRNA". It matches the Rfam family "Bacterial small subunit ribosomal RNA", at positions 8 to 748 of the family's 1533-position model. The record is from RNAcentral.